GAUGAAGAACGUAGCGAAAUGCGAUAAGUAGUGUGAAUUGCAGAAUUCAGUGAAUCAUCGAAUCUUUGAACGCACAUUGCGCCCUUUGGUAUUCCUUAGGGCAUGCCUGUUCGAGCGUCAUUUAAACCUUCAAGCCCUGCUUGGUGUUGGGUGCCUGUCCCGCCCCCGCGCGUGGACUCACCUCAAAUCCAUUAGCGGCCCCCGCAAGGCCACGAGCGCAGCAGAAACGCAAACUCGUGUGCCCGGCGGGCGGCUCCCAGAAGCUACACCCACCAUUUUGACCUCGGAUCAGGUAGGGAUACCCGCUGAACUUAAGCAUAUCAAUAAGCGGAGGA
This 335-nucleotide unclassified non-coding RNA is filed under the name soil metagenome. RNAcentral describes it as "partial contains 5.8S ribosomal RNA, internal transcribed spacer 2, and large subunit ribosomal RNA". The stretch from base 1 to 120 matches the Rfam family "5.8S ribosomal RNA", at positions 35 to 154 of the family's 154-position model. The record is from RNAcentral.